UAGGGAAUCUUCCGCAAUGGGCGAAAGCCUGACGGAGCAACGCCGCGUGAGUGAUGAAGGUCUUCGGAUCGUAAAACUCUGUUAUUAGGGAAGAACAAAUGUGUAAGUAACUAUGCACGUCUUGACGGUACCUAAUCAGAAAGCCACGGCUAACUACGUGCCAGCAGCCGCGGUAAUACGUAGGUGGCAAGCGUUAUCCGGAAUUAUUGGGCGUAAAGCGCGCGUAGGCGGUUUUUUAAGUCUGAUGUGAAAGCCCACGGCUCAACCGUGGAGGGUCUUUGGAAACUGGAAAACUUGAGUGCAGAAGAGGAAAGUGGAAUUCCAUGUGUAGCGGUGAAAUGCGCAGAGAUAUGGAGGAACACCAGUGGCGAAGGCGACUUUCUGGUCUGUAACUGACGCUGAUGUGCGAAAGCGUGGGGAUCAAACAGG
Molecule: ribosomal RNA, 429 nt
Filed under: Actinomycetes bacterium
Lineage: Bacteria; Bacillati; Actinomycetota; Actinomycetes
Description: Actinobacteria bacterium partial 16S ribosomal RNA
Rfam family: Bacterial small subunit ribosomal RNA
Source: RNAcentral